RNAcentral lists this ribosomal RNA (745 nucleotides) under uncultured bacterium. Its description in RNAcentral is "bacterial SSU rRNA". It matches the Rfam family "Bacterial small subunit ribosomal RNA", at positions 33 to 773 of the family's 1533-position model. The record is from RNAcentral.
ACGCUGGCGGCAGGCCUAACACAUGCAAGUCGAGCGGUAGAGAGAAGCUUGCUUCUCUCGAGAGCGGCGGACGGGUGAGUAAUGCCUAGGAAUCUGCCUGGUAGUGGGGGAUAACGUUCGGAAACGGACGCUAAUACCGCAUACGUCCUACGGGAGAAAGCAGGGGACCUUCGGGCCUUGCGCUAUCAGAUGAGCCUAGGUCGGAUUAGCUAGUUGGUGGGGUAAUGGCUCACCAAGGCGACGAUCCGUAACUGGUCUGAGAGGAUGAUCAGUCACACUGGAACUGAGACACGGUCCAGACUCCUACGGGAGGCAGCAGUGGGGAAUAUUGGACAAUGGGCGAAAGCCUGAUCCAGCCAUGCCGCGUGUGUGAAGAAGGUCUUCGGAUUGUAAAGCACUUUAAGUUGGGAGGAAGGGCAGUUGCCUAAUACGUAACUGUUUUGACGUUACCGACAGAAUAAGCACCGGCUAACUCUGUGCCAGCAGCCGCGGUAAUACAGAGGGUGCAAGCGUUAAUCGGAAUUACUGGGCGUAAAGCGCGCGUAGGUGGUUUGUUAAGUUGGAUGUGAAAUCCCCGGGCUCAACCUGGGAACUGCAUUCAAAACUGACUGACUAGAGUAUGGUAGAGGGUGGUGGAAUUUCCUGUGUAGCGGUGAAAUGCGUAGAUAUAGGAAGGAACACCAGUGGCGAAGGCGACCACCUGGACUGAUACUCACACUGAGGUGCGAAAGCGUGGGGAGCAAAC